Molecule: ribosomal RNA, 484 nt
Filed under: uncultured bacterium
Lineage: Bacteria
Description: partial 16S ribosomal RNA
Rfam family: Bacterial small subunit ribosomal RNA
Source: RNAcentral
AUUGAACGCUGGCGGCAUGCUUUACACAUGCAAGUCGAACGGCAGCGCGGGCUUCGGCCUGGCGGCGAGUGGCGAACGGGUGAGUAAUGCAUCGGAACGUGCCCAGUAGUGGGGGAUAGCCCGGCGAAAGCCGGAUUAAUACCGCAUACGACCUGAGGGUGAAAGCGGGGGACCGAAAGGCUUCGCGCUAUUGGAGCGGCCGAUGUCGGAUUAGCUAGUUGGUGGGGUAAAGGCUUACCAAGGCGACGAUCCGUAGCUGGUCUGAGAGGACGACCAGCCACACUGGGACUGAGACACGGCCCAGACUCCUACGGGAGGCAGCAGUGGGGAAUUUUGGACAAUGGGGGCAACCCUGAUCCAGCCAUGCUGCGUGCGGGAAGAAGGCCUUCGGGUUGUAAACCGCUUUUGUUCGGGAAGAAAUCCUCUGGGCUAAUACCCCGGGGGGAUGACGGUACCGGAAGAAUAAGCACCGGCUAACUACGUG